Molecule: transfer RNA, 72 nt
Filed under: Camelus bactrianus (Bactrian camel)
Lineage: Eukaryota; Metazoa; Chordata; Mammalia; Artiodactyla; Camelidae
Also listed under: 2 other names
Rfam family: tRNA
About the family: Transfer RNA (tRNA) molecules are approximately 80 nucleotides in length. Their secondary structure includes four short double-helical elements and three loops (D, anti-codon, and T loops). Further hydrogen bonds mediate the characteristic L-shaped molecular structure. tRNAs have two regions of fundamental functional importance: the anti-codon, which is responsible for specific mRNA codon recognition, and the 3' end, to which the tRNAs corresponding amino acid is attached (by aminoacyl-tRNA synthetases). tRNAs cope with the degeneracy of the genetic code in two manners: having more than one tRNA (with a specific anti-codon) for a particular amino acid; and 'wobble' base-pairing, i.e. permitting non-standard base-pairing at the 3rd anti-codon position.
Source: Rfam by way of RNAcentral
GAGGGUACAGCUCAGUGGUAGAGCGCAUGCCUAGCAUGCAUGAGGUCCUGGGUUCAAUCCCCAGUACCUCCA